GACGAACGCUGGCGGCGUGCUUAACACAUGCAAGUCGAACGCUGAAGCUCAGCUUUUGUUGGGUGGAUGAGUGGCGAACGGGUGAGUAACACGUGAGUAACCUGCCUCCUUCUUUGGGAUAACGCCCGGAAACGGGUGCUAAUACUGGAUAUUCACUGGUCCUCGCAUGGGGGUUGGUGGAAAGGGUUUUUCUGGUGGGGGAUGGGCUCGCGGCCUAUCAGCUUGUUGGUGGGGUGAUGGCCUACCAAGGCUUUGACGGGUAGCCGGCCUGAGAGGGUGACCGGUAACAUUGGGACUGAGAUACGGCCCAGACUCCUACGGGAGGCAGCAGUGGGGAAUAUUGCACAAUGGGCGCAAGCCUGAUGCAGCGACGCCGCGUGAGGGAUGGAGGCCUUCGGGUUGUGAACCUCUUUCGCUCAUGGUCAAGCCGCAACAAUGGUUGUGGUGAGGGUAGUGGGUAAAGAAGCGCCGGCUAACUACGUG
RNAcentral lists this ribosomal RNA (483 nucleotides) under uncultured bacterium. RNAcentral's name for it is "partial 16S ribosomal RNA". It matches the Rfam family "Bacterial small subunit ribosomal RNA", at positions 28 to 507 of the family's 1533-position model. The record is from RNAcentral.